CAGCACGCGGGAAUACGAAGGGGGCUAGCGUUGUUCGGAUUUACUGGGCGUAAAGCGCACGUAGGCGGACUUUUAAGUCAGGGGUGAAAUCCCAGAGCUCAACUCUGGAACUGCCUUUGAUACUGGAAGUCUUGAGUAUGGUAGAGGUGAGUGGAAUUCCGAGUGUAGAGGUGAAAUUCGUAGAUAUUCGGAGGAACACCAGUGGCGAAGGCGGCUCACUGGACCAUUACUGACGCUGAGGUGCGAAAGCGUGGGGAGCAAACAGGAUUAGAUACCCCCGUAGUCCCUGUCUUUAUACACC
Molecule: ribosomal RNA, 301 nt
Filed under: uncultured bacterium
Lineage: Bacteria
Description: partial 16S ribosomal RNA
Rfam family: Bacterial small subunit ribosomal RNA
Source: RNAcentral